This 269-nucleotide ribosomal RNA is filed under the name uncultured archaeon. RNAcentral's name for it is "partial 16S ribosomal RNA". It matches the Rfam family "Archaeal small subunit ribosomal RNA", at positions 477 to 747 of the family's 1478-position model. The record is from RNAcentral.
CAGCACCUCAAGUGGUCAGGAUGAUUAUUGGGCCUAAAGCAUCCGUAGCCGGCGCUGUAAGUUUUCGGUUAAAUCUGUACGCUCAACGUACAGGCUGCCGGGAAUACUGCAGCGCUAGGGAGUGGGAGAGGUAGACGGUACUCGGUAGGAAGGGGUAAAAUCCUUUGAUCUAUUGAUGACCACCUGUGGCGAAGGCGGUCUACCAGAACACGUCCGACGGUGAGGGAUGAAAGCUGGGGGAGCAAACCGGAUUAGAGACCCGAUAGUCC